This 465-nucleotide ribosomal RNA is filed under the name Vreelandella stevensii. RNAcentral describes it as "partial 16S ribosomal RNA". It matches the Rfam family "Bacterial small subunit ribosomal RNA", at positions 338 to 795 of the family's 1533-position model. The record is from RNAcentral. Lineage: Bacteria; Pseudomonadati; Pseudomonadota; Gammaproteobacteria; Oceanospirillales; Halomonadaceae.
CCUACGGGGGGCUGCAGUGGGGAAUAUUGGACAAUGGGGGCAACCCUGAUCCAGCCAUGCCGCGUGUGUGAAGAAGGCCCUCGGGUUGUAAAGCACUUUCAGUGAGGAAGAACGCCUGGUGGUUAAUACCCAUCAGGAAGGACAUCACUCACAGAAGAAGCACCGGCUAACUCCGUGCCAGCAGCCGCGGUAAUACGGAGGGUGCGAGCGUUAAUCGGAAUUACUGGGCGUAAAGCGCGCGUAGGUGGCUUGAUAAGCCGGUUGUGAAAGCCCCGGGCUCAACCUGGGAACGGCAUCCGGAACUGUCAAGCUAGAGUGCAGGAGAGGAAGGUAGAAUUCCCGGUGUAGCGGUGAAAUGCGUAGAGAUCGGGAGGAAUACCAGUGGCGAAGGCGGCCUUCUGGACUGACACUGACACUGAGGUGCGAAAGCGUGGGUAGCAAACAGGAUUAGAUACCCUGGUAGUC